GCCUGCAUGAAGUUGGAAUCACUAGUAAUCGCGGAUCAGCAUGCCGCGGUGAAUGCGUUCUCGGGCCUUGUACACACCGCCCGUCACACCAUGAGAGUCGGGAACACCCGAAGUCCGUAGCCUAACCGCAAGGGGGGCGCGGCCGAAGGUGGGCUCGAUAAUUGGGGUGAAGUCGUAACAAGGUAUC
Molecule: ribosomal RNA, 187 nt
Filed under: uncultured bacterium
Lineage: Bacteria
Description: partial 16S ribosomal RNA
Rfam family: Bacterial small subunit ribosomal RNA
Source: RNAcentral